This 27-nucleotide small RNA is filed under the name Bombyx mori (domestic silkworm). RNAcentral's name for it is "ovarian small RNA-24200". Lineage: Eukaryota; Metazoa; Arthropoda; Insecta; Lepidoptera; Bombycidae. The record is from RNAcentral.
UAUUGACUGUGCCACAGAGGUCUGUAU